RNAcentral lists this long non-coding RNA (785 nucleotides) under Daphnia pulex (common water flea). RNAcentral describes it as "uncharacterized LOC124190186". Lineage: Eukaryota; Metazoa; Arthropoda; Branchiopoda; Diplostraca; Daphniidae. The record is from RNAcentral.
AGUUGUCAUCCUAAUAGCAAUUUUAACAUUUUUUUUUGUUUCUUAUUUAGAUAUGGCCUAUAAGACCAAAUGUCUGGCUGUCUCCAAAACAAGGCAAUGACCACACGUUCAACGCGGAUCAUUCGUUUUUUCAUCGAAAUUGACUCAUUUUAUCUUCUGAAUUGCUCAGGAAACCUGAUUGGCGUUACCUGUUAACUUCAUCUUGUCAUGCCACUGAAUUUAAAUUUCGUUUACAUUUUAUUUCUUGAUCUAGCCAUUUAGGUAAUGACCGGGAAGAUGCGGCCUAUACAUGAACAUCAUUUAGGCGGCCAGCAUCAUUCGACUACCCAACCGAGUCUCAACACAGCACGGAGUUUUACACUUUAAAUAUUUGGCUGUUCGCAAUUUGUGAUGGCGUUUCCUUGGACGAGAUAUGAUUUGGCGAGAAAAAUAUUGCGGACGAUUUCAUGCUGUCCUUUACCAUGGACCAAUCUCUCAUUCCAUCUGAGAACUUUGGAUAACUGAUUGGUGGUUUCAUGUGUUUCUAAAUUGACAUGACAGACUUUAUGAGAAGUAAUGUCCUUUCAAGAAAGAAACAAGGUCCCUUGUUUGCUAAUCCAAUAGCUGCUACCCUUGAAUCUCCCCUUUUACUUCCUUAAACGGGCCCUCUUGAUUUGAGGGUAAUCCUUUGCUACUUAUUGUGGACUUCAACCAUUGCCUGGAAGCCUGUAAACCAACCUUGAGAGCAUGCUGUCAUUCAAGACUGUUUAAUUGUGUAGUUAGCUAAAUUGCAAGUGCAUAUCUGG